Molecule: small nucleolar RNA, 133 nt
Organism: Suncus etruscus (white-toothed pygmy shrew)
Lineage: Eukaryota; Metazoa; Chordata; Mammalia; Eulipotyphla; Soricidae
Product: small nucleolar RNA SNORA51
Exons: 1
Source: RefSeq, a predicted model, not a curated record
AAAACCCUAAAGACUCCAUUAAACUGUGUUCUUUACACUGACUGUAUAGAAAGAGGAGGUACAGUAAACACACCCCCUAUACACUUCAACCGAUGCCCUUUGCCUGGUCUGUAUUGUGAAUUGGGGGACAAAA